CUGUCUCUUAAGGCCAGCCAACGAAAUUGAAUAGCCAGUACAAAAGCUGGUAUUUUUAAGCAAGACAAAAAGACCCCGUGGAACUUUAACAAAUUAUUAACAACACUUAAUAAAAGUUUCGGUUGGGACAACCAUAGAAAAACUAAACUUCUAAAUUAAACAAGACCAACAAGUCUAAUAUGAUGACCCAGUUAGACUGAUCAAUGAAACAAGCUACCCCGGGGAUAACAGCGCCACCUUCUAGAAGAGUCCAUAUCAACAAGAAGACCUACGACCUCGAUGUUGGAUCAGGAUAUCCUGGCGGUGUAACAGCUGUCAAAGGUUCGUUUGUUCAACGAUCAAAAUCCUACGUGAUCU
This 357-nucleotide ribosomal RNA is filed under the name Brookesia karchei. Its description in RNAcentral is "partial large subunit ribosomal RNA". It matches the Rfam family "Bacterial large subunit ribosomal RNA", at positions 2016 to 2606 of the family's 2925-position model. The record is from RNAcentral. Lineage: Eukaryota; Metazoa; Chordata; Lepidosauria; Squamata; Chamaeleonidae.